CUAUUUAUAAAGAACAACCAUAAUCGGCCAAUAAAAACUAUAGUUUUAAAACCAAAGACUUUGGCGGUGCUUUAUAAACUCAGGGGAGCCUGUUUAUUAAUAUGAUAAUCCACAAAUAUCUAACCAUGAAUUGAAAAUCAGUUUGUAUACUGCCGUGCAAGGUUUAGCUAAGAUACCUUAAACAAAAACUCCACUAUACCAACCAUAUAACAGGUCAAAGUGCAACUAAAAUCAUGGGCACAAAUGAGCUACAUUUAUUUAAAUAAAUUAUACCUAAAUAAAAAUAAUAGAACUUGACAGUAAUAAAUCUUUACUAUAGAUUUAUAAAUCACCUAUAAUGCAUGCACAUAUCGCCCGUCACUCUUACUGAAAAAUAAGAUAAGUCGUAACAA
RNAcentral lists this ribosomal RNA (392 nucleotides) under Inanidrilus exumae. Its description in RNAcentral is "partial 12S ribosomal RNA". The record is from RNAcentral. Lineage: Eukaryota; Metazoa; Annelida; Clitellata; Tubificida; Naididae.